RNAcentral lists this ribosomal RNA (465 nucleotides) under uncultured bacterium. RNAcentral's name for it is "partial 16S ribosomal RNA". It matches the Rfam family "Bacterial small subunit ribosomal RNA", at positions 338 to 795 of the family's 1533-position model. The record is from RNAcentral.
CCUACGGGAGGCAGCAGUGGGGAAUAUUGCGCAAUGGGCGAAAGCCUGACGCAGCGACGCCGCGUGAGGGAUGAAGGUCUUCGGAUCGUAAACCUCUGUCAGCAGGGAAGAACGGUCACUGUGCUAAUCAGCAGUGAAUUGACGGUACCUGCAAAGGAAGCACCGGCUAACUCCGUGCCAGCAGCCGCGGGAAUACGGAGGGUGCGUGCGGUAAUCGGAAUUACUGGGCGUAAAGCGAUCGUAGGCGGUAUGUCAAGUCAAGGGUGAAAUCCCCGCGCUCAACGUGGGAACUGCCUUUGAAACUGGCAAACUGGAGUGUGUGAGAGGAUAGUGGAAUUCCAGGUGUAGGAGUGAAAUGCGUAGAUAUCUGGAGGAACAUCGGUGGCGAAGGCGACUAUCUGGCACAUAACUGACGCUGAGGAGCGAAAGCGUGGGUAGCAAACAGGAUUAGAUACCCUAGUAGUC